RNAcentral lists this long non-coding RNA (966 nucleotides) under Bos taurus (domestic cattle). RNAcentral's name for it is "long non-coding RNA NONBTAT001393". Lineage: Eukaryota; Metazoa; Chordata; Mammalia; Artiodactyla; Bovidae. The record is from RNAcentral.
UCCUAGGUUAAUUCCAUCAUAUUAGCCUUUGAAAUUGUUUUCUCCAGUUAUUUUAAAAAUUUCCUAAACAUUUAAGUAUACAGUAUAUUUUCACAAGAGACUGUAUCAUCUUUUUCCCACUACAAAAAAAUUACAUCUCUUCUCUAGCAAUUUCCUUUGUGCAAGAAAGUAGAAUAUAGAGCAAGUUUGAACAGUAUCUAAAGAGGCAGAGUUACAGAAAACCUUUCUUCUCUAAUCAUAUUAAGCCCCAAUUUUUCUUCUAGUUAAAAGGAAAACACGAGACCAAACUUACCUUGAGUCACAACUGAAGUUAACAUAUGCUUAUUCUUCUGUGACAUACUUAAUGUGCAGAAACCAAAACAGGAAAUAAUAUUAAGAAUUUCCAGGUAAAAUUUUUCAAUGAAUCCAAAGUUAAAAACAGACAAAAAGGUAAGGGGAAAAUUCACAUAUACAUGAAAAAGAUUUCUUUUAUUCUGCAUUCUCAAUUUCAUCUAUAGAUCUUAACAAUGAUUUGUGAGGUUUUCCAUGACUAUUUAAUAAAACUAUGAAGUUCAUAAAGAACAUCAGAAAAAUAAAAUGAUAAAUUUACUGAUACAGAUGAAUUGGGAUAUUAUAAUAACUGUCUUGUACAAAUAGGAAAGUUCUAAUUAGUUUUCCACAAAAUCAUUCUGAAACAAUUACACAAGUCAGCUUAUUUAAAAUAAAUAAUAUUUUAGCAUUAUGGUAGCUAUGUUCAAGACAUGUAUUUGUAUAUUUAACAUUCUGACGUAUCUUUAAAACUAUUUUGCAAAAAAAAAAAAAACUAUUUUGCUAUUAUAUAGUAUUAGCAUCACAUUGUAUAAUGAGUAUGAAAAGAAUAUGAAAGUUUUUCUGCUCAGUACAUUACAAAAUCAUGUUCAAAUACUAUGUACAUUUUUGCCCAGGAGAAUUUGAAAAUGCUACUUAGUGACUUAAGUCACUGGACUG